Molecule: ribosomal RNA, 590 nt
Filed under: Botryosphaeria dothidea
Lineage: Eukaryota; Fungi; Ascomycota; Dothideomycetes; Botryosphaeriales; Botryosphaeriaceae
Description: eukaryotic LSU rRNA
Rfam family: 5.8S ribosomal RNA (bases 214-367)
Source: RNAcentral
AUUUCCGUAGGUGAACCUGCGGAAGGAUCAUUACCGAGUUGAUUCGGGCUCCGGCCCGAUCCUCCCACCCUUUGUGUACCUACCUCUGUUGCUUUGGCGGGCCGCGGUCCUCCGCGGCCGCCCCCCUCCCCGGGGGGGUGGCCAGCGCCCGCCAGAGGACCAUCAAACUCCAGUCAGUAAACGAUGCAGUCUGAAAAACAUUUAAUAAACUAAAACUUUCAACAACGGAUCUCUUGGUUCUGGCAUCGAUGAAGAACGCAGCGAAAUGCGAUAAGUAAUGUGAAUUGCAGAAUUCAGUGAAUCAUCGAAUCUUUGAACGCACAUUGCGCCCUUUGGUAUUCCGAAGGGCAUGCCUGUUCGAGCGUCAUUACAACCCUCAAGCUCUGCUUGGUAUUGGGCACCGUCCUUUGCGGGCGCGCCUCAAAGACCUCGGCGGUGGCGUCUUGCCUCAAGCGUAGUAGAACAUACAUCUCGCUUCGGAGCGCAGGGCGUCGCCCGCCGGACGAACCUUCUGAACUUUUCUCAAGGUUGACCUCGGAUCAGGUAGGGAUACCCGCUGAACUUAAGCAUAUCAAUAAGCGGAGGAAAUC